UGGGGAAUCUUCGGCAAUGGACGCAAGCCUGAUCCAGCAACGCCGCGUGUGUGAAGAAGGCUUUCGGGUUGUAAAACUCUGUUGUUAGAGAAGAAAGAGGAGGUGAGUAACUGAACGUCCCCUGACGUUAUCGAACCAGAAAGCAACGGCUAACUACGUGCCAGCAGCCGCGGUAAUACGGAGGGGGCAAGCGUUGUCCGGAUUUAUUGGGCGUAAAGCGCACGGAGGCGGUUUAUUAAGUCAGAUGUGAAAGCCCCCGGCUCAACCGGGGAAGUUCAUUGGAAACUGGCAGACUUGAGUGCAGAAGAGGGGAGUGGAAUUCCAGGUGUAGCGGUGAAAUGCGUAGAUAUCUGGAGGAACACCGGUGGCGAAGGCGGCUCUCUGGUCUGUAACUGACGCUGAGGCUCGAAAGCGUGGGGAGCAAACAGG
RNAcentral lists this ribosomal RNA (429 nucleotides) under Gemmatimonadota bacterium. RNAcentral's name for it is "Gemmatimonadetes bacterium partial 16S ribosomal RNA". It matches the Rfam family "Bacterial small subunit ribosomal RNA", at positions 355 to 776 of the family's 1533-position model. Lineage: Bacteria; Pseudomonadati; Gemmatimonadota. The record is from RNAcentral.